Molecule: transfer RNA, 72 nt
Filed under: Marmota monax (woodchuck)
Lineage: Eukaryota; Metazoa; Chordata; Mammalia; Rodentia; Sciuridae
Description: tRNA.Ala
Source: RNAcentral
AUAUAUAUAGCUCAGUGAUAAAGUGUUUGCUCAGCAUGCACAAGUCCCUGGGUUUAAUUCCCAGUACAAAAA